Oncorhynchus tshawytscha (Chinook salmon) is the source of this 399-nucleotide long non-coding RNA. Lineage: Eukaryota; Metazoa; Chordata; Actinopteri; Salmoniformes; Salmonidae. The record is from Ensembl.
AGAGGCUGACCGACAUCUAUAGGAGGGAGAGGAGGCUGACCGACAUCUAUAGGAGGGAGAAGAGGCUGACCGACAUCGAUAGGAGGGAGAGGAGGCUGACCGACAUCUAUAGGAGGGAGAGGAGGCUGACGACAUCUAUAGGAGGGAGAGGAGGCUGACGACAUCUAUAGGAGGGAGAGGAGGCUGACCGACAUCUAUAGGAGGGAGAGGAGGCUGACCGACAUCUAUAGGAGGGAGAGGAGGCUGACCGAUAUCUAUAGGAGGGAGAGGAGGCUGACCGAUAUCUAUAGGAGGGAGAGGAGGCUGACCGACAUCUAUAGGAGGGAGAGGAGGCUGACCGACAUCUAUAGGAGGGAGAGGGGACAGACUGACUGAUAUCUAUAUGAGGGAGAGGAGGCU